RNAcentral lists this unclassified non-coding RNA (6340 nucleotides) under Venturia canescens. RNAcentral describes it as "protein doublesex-like, transcript variant X3". Lineage: Eukaryota; Metazoa; Arthropoda; Insecta; Hymenoptera; Ichneumonidae. The record is from RNAcentral.
AGCACUCAGUGAGUUACGGGCUGCGUACCCGUGCGGAUCGGUGUUUUUUGUGUGCGUGUGUGUGUGUGUUCAUGCACGUGUACAAUCGCUGAGAACACAUUGCGCAUACUGACACACACACACACACACAUAUGUGUACGUGUUUCUCGUUCGAACACGAUAUAUUCGCUCAACUUAAGAGACACGUAUUCACGUCGAAUUGAAUUCUGUGUCGCUAUCGCUGCUGCUGCUGCUGCUGCUGCUGUUCUCGACCCGUUAUUAUCCUCGAUCAAAGAUCGCGUAUAACAGUGCAUUAAUGUACUCUGCAGACACGACAAUGUAAUUUUAAUACUCGCCGUACGAAGAAUGCGACGUUUUAUUAUUCGCGUUGUAUUCGAACUUGUACGUCAACGAAACAGGCAAUUUUGCCACGAAUAAAACGCCACCAAAUUACUUUAUUAACGGUCGUUUCGACGUUGAAGAAUAAAGAUAGAUAAAAACGUAAAGAAGUUGGAAAAAACGGAGAAACUCGCGGUGAUAUUCGAGUCUGUUUACGUUACACGAUGGUGAGUGUGCGCGGUUGUUUAUAUUCUUCGAGUUUGUGAUACCAUCUUUACACCAGCGCAACAAAGUAGCUCGAAAGAAGACUCCGGUCAAUAAUAAAAACGUGCGUGUGUGGUGCUUCUCUCUGUUUUUUCCCUUUAUUUUUCUUCUGCAGUAGACCGAACGAGUGAACAAGAAAUAGAUACUGCGAGAGAGCGAGUGACGGCGAAGGAGAACUCGAGAUAGAGCACGCCUCGGCAGAGAUUCGUAGAUUGGCUGCGAUGCUGUUUGCACUGAUCAAGUGGUAGGAGAAACCAAGAAAAAAAGAAAGAGCGAGAGAGAACGGAAUAGCAGGAAGAGGAGAACGAAAGAUCGCGCUCUGUGUAUUGCGUUCUCGCAAGAGCAACUGCGAGGUCGCGUGUGUGUCGGGUGUGCAAGCGCAGCGAGAACGACUCUUUCGCCGGGCCACGUUGCUUUCCCUCCUUUGGCGCCAGUUUUCUUUUUAUUUAUUUCUUCUUUUUCUCCCUCUUCCCUCCUCUCCCUCGUUCGGCUGCAUCGUAUCAUGUUACAUUGAGCCGCUAUUACUACACACUUUGUUACGAAGAUGGAACAUAGAAAGACUCUGAGUGAUGCACGAUAGCAGGCUUUCGUGAGCCGUUUUACUAUUCACGCUGAUUGUGAGACCUUUUUUCUUCACGUCACACACGACGGACGAACUGUCAGUUGGCCGCGUGUGCGUUCGGUUUUUUCCUCGCCCCGAUACAUAACACAUGCUGCUGGAGGUUAGGAACUGCCGCUAUAUCAACGCUCUUCUUUUCAACAGGAAGAUUAUGUCAUCGCGGUCCGAAUACUUUGACGGAUGAUCAAGAGGCUUGAUGCCAAGAAGCGAUCGAUUUCUGUGAAUUUCUCUUCGAUCGAUCGUCUGUGACUGGUAUUCCGUUUCUUUCUGCGCAUACUCAUUGGUCCCAACUCUUCUUAACUCCGAUUUCGAAGUGCGUGGGUGCGUUGGAAUGGAAGUGUGUCAUUUGUCUUGAAAAAAACGAACGUUCAAGAAUGGUUUCAAGAAUGAGUCGCGACAGCGAAGUGAGCUCGGUCCGUUCAAACGAAUCCAAGGCGACGAACGGGACUGGAAAUUCCGCACUGACGCCUCGUGCAGCGCCGAAUUGUGCGCGUUGCCGUAAUCAUCGUAUUAAAAUAGCUUUAAAAGACCAUAAAAGAUACUGCAGAUAUCGAAAUUGUGUUUGUGAAAAGUGCAAGUUGACCAAGGAUCGCCAAAGGGUCAUGGCAUUGCAGGUGCGACUCCGACGGGCCCAGGAUCAAGACGCCGCGAGAGUAAGGAGGCCCGAGGAGCAGGUGGAGCCUCGACCGGUUGAACUCGACGCCGAUCGAUUGGUCUCAGUGUCACAACCUGCUCUAAGUCUCGAGGGUAGUCGUGGCGGUAGUAACAGCCAAUCUCCUAUCAGUAAUCACGGGAGUAUUGGUGCUCACAGUGGCAUAGGUAGCACUGGUUUCGUUAGUGUGUCAUCCAGCCGAAAAUUACCGCCUCCUAUGCAACCGCACUCACCUGCCAGCCAAGGACAUCACAUACCGUUACCUCAGAGCAGCGAAAACGUCGAAAUACUACUGAAAUAUAGUACAGAAUUACUCGAGAGAUUUCUUCGGUAUUCGUGGGAAAUGUUGCCCCUGAUGUACGUCAUCCUCAAAGAUUGCGGGGCCGAUUUAGAGGAAGCUACGAGACGCAUUGCUGCAGCAAACCACGAGAUUCGAACAAUGGCGUUCUGGAAGGCAACGCGGAUGCUACAAUAUGGAGGAUAUUGGCACGAGAGUUAUGUACCAAACGCCACGAACGGUGCACCUACAUAUCUGGAAACAACACCAUACAUCUGGCCCCCACCACCGCCCACAGCCUCGCAUCUCGGACCACUUCCGCAUCCGCUCAAUAAUACCCAUAUGCUGGCAACGAGAAUACCCUCGAGUCCAGACAGUCCUCCAGAACGUCCCACCACGUAGCCCUGUUAAUAAGAGAAAAAUGGUGCUCACUCGGGACGACGAUCGAGAGAGAGAGAGCGGUACGUCUCAGGCAAACGCGAUAGCGGCAGAGUGGCAGAAAAUAAACGAAGAGAGGGCAAGAUUGGAGCAAAUUAAAGCAAGUCUCGAAGCGCAGAAAAAACGACAACAACAAACGACGUGCGUCGUAAAUGGAGAGCAAAAUUCCGAGGACGCACGAAAUGUCACGGAGGACCUCACCACGAUCAUCAAUUUGGGACCGGUUCGAAGUGAUUGCGAACGUGACGCGAAACUACGAUUCCAAAGAAGUCAAUUGCCUGGUCGUGACCCCGCAGAUAACAAUCGGCGAGAUCGAUGAUUCCGUAGUGACAGGUUCGACGAGAACGCGUUGAUGCCCUCCGUACGUUGCUGUUAGCGUUGCAGCCGAGUCCAUACGAGGACGACUUGAAAAAUGUGGUGCAAAAGAGCUCAAAGGAUGAUUGUAAACAGUGAUAACAAAUUGUCGUGAUGUUUGUCGAGCAUACGGUACUCUUAAUCGUGCUAGCUCAGUCACUCAAUCUUCUUUUAUUCGAAAGGACGACGAAAACGUAUUUUGAUGCGGUGAACUUUAAAUCUAAGGCGAUUGAUAGCGUGAAUGAUGAAUUGUCCUUUCUGCAGCAGAGCGACCAUGCACUAUGGGCGAUAAAGAAGAGUCUCUCUUUCAAUGUUCUUAAACCAUUCGUACAUUUUUAUUGUUUCCUUCGUUGUUAUUUUGUGUAAUUCAUUCACAUUCGUCUUCUUGUUUCUCCUUUUAUUAUUAUUAUUUUUUAACUCAUAAAAUGAAGACGAUUGGCAAAAAAGAAAAAGGCUUGAAGAGUAUUUUCGGUCAUAGUGUAACUCUUAGUAUCGUCCUUGUGAUUGUUCAUGGCUAAGCCCCUGAUUUACGUACUUCACUGCGCAAAACUUUGCCGAAUCAAUCGAAAACGAUGUUUCCUUUCUUCUCCCUCCCAAGAAUCGCGAGGAAAUGAAAGAAAAAUAAAAAUAAGUAAAGAGGUUCGUCCACGGUCGAUGAAGCGUUGGAUCAUCAAGGUCAUUGAAAAUAUUUCCACGACUUUUAUCGACUCGUCGAACGGAAAAUUAAACUGGAAUCCUUCGACUUUGCUGAUCCAAUGUUCAGAGGACAAUUAUUCGCGCAAACAUACGCGUCUCAGUGUUCAUAAUGUGAUUAAUGCAAAUUUAUUGUUUAUGUUUUUCUUAUUUUGUAUUUCUUUCCUUUUUUUUUCUCUUAAUUUAAUGUGAUAUUAGGGAUGGAAGGCAAAUUUAAGGGUACCUGGUCAGGAGUCGCGAAAUAAACUUGUAUACACUUGCGUACCCACACACACACACACACACACACACACACACAUACGCAUAAACACAAGAAACACGUACACAAACUUACAUACAUACGUUAUUUGAAUAAAUAUAAAACGUGGACAAAAUAAAUAUCUCGGCGUUGAUCAAUCGAUUUUUUGUUUUUCGAUCUUCCGCAGGAUCAUCCUUCUCGGUCCAGCUACGCCUCCAUUUAUAAAAACCUUUGCUGUGUAACUUACUUAAUCCAACAUUGUAUCGGAGAGGACAACUCUCGAAAUAUUCACCUCGAGUGUACGACUCGUUUAAUCGAACUUUUGCUAUCGAAUGAAGUAGUUACUGUUUUUCACUCCAUCUUGUUGAUUUUUUCUCUGAUUUUUUCUCCUCAAUAAGCCUCGUUUCAAGCGUCAAGUAACGUCAGAAAUUCUUGUGUUGUCGGAACGAUUUUUACCUGUAAAAAGAUAAUGGUAUUUCGAAAGAUUUUUCCAGAUACAGAGAAUCAUUAACAAAGUUACCAUGAAUAAUUGGAGUUGUAUGUUUUAAGAAUUAUUGUUAAUUGAACUUUGAAUGGUUUGAUUUCUUUUGUUUCUCAAAAGUCUCAAUCGUCGCCAACUUACUCUUGGAAGAAGUAAUACGAUUUUUUUUGUAAUAGAUCCAUUUUAGAAUGAAAAUUAUUCACUACUUUAAAUCAGGUCGCAGAUCGUUUCACUGAGAACUAAUAAAAAAUCAAUUCUUCCCCAACUGCUAAUGUUUCAUCGCAUGUUUUGCGAAAACACUUGUGGCGAAAAAUCAUGCUCACGGACUUCUCUGUCUUUACAAAACAUGCAAUUUUCGAGUUUCAAUUCAAUGCGAUUUUAUAACUCGUUUCUGAGGUGCUAGAACUUGUACAUUUUUAUCCUUGUUUUGUUCUGUCUAUUAAAUUGCGAUUUUGCAAAAUUUGUGAAUCCAUUCGUUGAUGAUUCUAGUAAUUAAACAAUCAGCUGAUGUUAUUUUGCCAAAUUUGCGACUCGUCUAUUAUCACAUGGCCGCCAACCGUGUGUUGAAUUUUCUCGCGUUGACUAAAUUUACGUGAAAAACGACUGGAUCUAAAUUCUUUUUCUCCACUGAUGAAUCUGAGUGGGAAAUUCAACCGCUAAAACGUAAGUCAUGUGAGCUCAUCAGUUUGUAACUUCAGCCUGGCUAUAUUGAAAAGAAACUUUUGUAUCCAGUUUUUCUACGUAAAAAACUGACGUUGCUUAUCAAUUUUUUAAACAUUCUCCAGCCUCAUGGUCAAGUUUCACUUUUUCUUUUGAUCUCGUCAACAUUUCUCGAGCAUUGCCGAAUCCGUAGAUUCAACGUAUGAAAAAUACUAAUGCGUACAAUCACCAUAUUUGCAACACAAAACAGUAGCGAGGCAAGAAAGGAGCAAGAAAAAAGUUUAACUCGAAUAGGAUCGUGAUGUUUAAUCGAUCCAUUAGAACAAACGGACUGGGAACACAAAAGUAAACAUUUGACGUGACACCGGAAAAGCUUUGGAUAAAGAGGAGACUCGUAAGAAGCUUUUGCAAAUGAACGAAUAAUUUCUGUACCAUUUGAACAAAUGAUUUGAACUUCAUUACAAUUGAAAGCAAAGUCAUCCCCAAUCGAAAUUUCCAAAAUCAAUGAACAAUAGGGAUUCUGCUAGUGUAGUCGUGGUUGCAGGCACCGAGAGAAAAGAGUAUCGACGUUUCUUAAAAAUCGUUUUAUCUCUUGGACCCAGUCCGUUAUUCCCAUAAAUAAAGAUGACCCAUAAAGAGUAAAAUCGCACGAAAUAAGAGCAAACUCAAUGCCUAAAGUCAGUUUCGUCCAUAGGCCACCUCAUCAACAGACAAAAAUGAAUUUGCAUAUAGUCAAAAAUGCGUUCACAGUUCAAAUACGAGGACACGAGUAAUCUGUUAUUAUUUUAUUUUUUUUUGUCUGAAUAAAAAUCGCAAAGAGAGAAGAAUGGGAAAAUUAUUAAUAUGGGAUUUGUAGAUGAAUAAAUGCAAUGAAAAUAGCUCCAUAUGAUGGUCGGUCUUCGUGACUUGUCCCCUAAUUAUAUAAUAUUUAUAUCCACGUAUAAAAAGUUGGUUUUUUUUUAUACUCUCUUCGGUGAACUUGCCUCGUACUCGCGAGACAAAGUUAGACCGUCGUCAUUAUUUAUUGGAUCAUUUAUUAUUGCAAGUUACGUGUGUCCACGAACUCUUGUUAGACUUUUCACAAGAGAGCGGACAAAGAAUAUUCAAAAAAUCAUUUGACCCGAGCAUAUAUAUUGAUGGACGGAUGGUCGAAGAUCACAUUUCAAACGAAUGUCCAAAGUUAUUAUAUUCUUCGAAACAACAAGAAAAGAUAAAGAGAUAGAUAGAGGGUGUUGUAUUCCUCCUUGACAAACGCACGAAUCGUUAAUUGUGGAUUCUGUGUAUUUGGCUCAUUCUACUUGUUAAAUUAUACCAUACGAAUAAGAAUUAAAUUGAAAAUCAUUGAA